Molecule: ribosomal RNA, 483 nt
Filed under: uncultured bacterium
Lineage: Bacteria
Description: partial 16S ribosomal RNA
Rfam family: Bacterial small subunit ribosomal RNA
Source: RNAcentral
GACGAACGCUGGCGGCGUGCUUAACACAUGCAAGUCGAACGCUGAAGCUCAGCUUUUGUUGGGUGGAUGAGCGGCGAACGGGUGAGUAACACGUGAGUAACCUGCUCCCUUCUUUGGGAUAACGCCCGGAAACGGGUGCUAAUACUGGAUAUUCACUGGUCUUCGCAUGGGGGUUGGUGGAAAGGGUUUUUCUGGUGGGGGAUGGGCUCGCGGCCUAUCAGCUUGUUGGUGGGGUGAUGGCCUACCAAGGCUUUGACGGGUAGCCGGCCUGAGAGGGUGACCGGUAACAUUGGGACUGAGAUACGGCCCAGACUCCUACGGGAGGCAGCAGUGGGGAAUAUUGCACAAUGGGCGCAAGCCUGAUGCAGCGACGCCGCGUGAGGGAUGGAGGCCUUCGGGUUGUGAACCUCUUUCGCUCAUGGUCAAGCCGCAACAAUGGUUGUGGUGAGGGUAGUGGGUAAAGAAGCGCCGGCUAACUACGUG